This 342-nucleotide long non-coding RNA is filed under the name Hordeum vulgare. Its description in RNAcentral is "long non-coding RNA (HVUL_LNC003985)". Lineage: Eukaryota; Viridiplantae; Streptophyta; Magnoliopsida; Poales; Poaceae. The record is from RNAcentral.
CCCCCUCUUGUUUUUUACUCCAUAACUCAGAUCAAAAUGUCUUAAUCAUCUUGUCUUAUUGAUGGGAAAUGUUUUGAUUACUAAAAUAUGGCUCUUUAAUCAAGAUUAGGUUUACAACCAAUGCAUCGGGCUUGUCAGCGGAUUUACAGCACAGAUCAAGUUAAAAUGAAGAAACUCUGGAGAAAUAAGGAAAACCAGAUUAAGGAUGAAACUGAAAAAUCGUCACCCUAUCUUUUCUUUACCUAUACUAAUAAAGGACCUAUCGCUUCUGCACGUAUGUCAGCAAUUUUGGAAAAGAGCCCCUGCUGUUUUGGGUAUUCAACCAGCAGUCCUCGAUGAGUU